CUCCAAAAAGCUAGGUCAUAUAGAGACAGAUUAAGAAGUGUUAAGUAAACAUUUAUGCAACUGUUACAUGGGAUAUGUCUUCGCUGGUUUUGCUUCCUCCAGCUCAGCAUCCAACCAGCGGUAUCUGCGGUGACGGCGAAGAACUUCAAUUGCUCUUUGUUCUAGAGGUGUUGGUUGAAUACCCAAAUCCUCCAAACCGGGGAGAUCAGGCAAUAUCAUGUCUGUCGUGUGAAAUCGGUCUACUUUGUCUCGAGUUAACCAUGGUUCAAAUGGACUGAUCUCAAAGAAUCUUGCAAUUAAAUGAUAGAGAGGACGUGGAAGUGGAUAUGGAAAAAAUUUUCGAAAAGCAACUGCAUAGAUGUAUUCUAUCAUGUCAUACAGCAGGUACCUAUUAGGUCCAACCAAGGCAUAUGUUUUUCCUUUAGCAUCAGGAUCCUUAACUGCAUUAAUAAUUGCCUUUGCUACAUCAACCACGUAUACUGGUUGCUUCACUGUUUUUUUGCCCAAAGAAAUAAGAGGCACACCACCAAACCAGCGCAUGUUCGCAUAAUGAUUGAGAAAUCGGUCCUCUCUCCCGAACAUCUCAGAAGGCUUCAUAAUUACAGCAUCUGGAAAUUCUUCCCUUACUGCUUUCUCUCCAACAGCUUUACUCCUCAGGUAUUUGGAAGGACUCUUCAUGCUAGCAUUCAGGUGAGAGAUAUGAAUGAGUGUUUCCACACCAGCCUCUCUAGUUAUCUGGGCAAUACUUUUAGGAAUAUUUACAAAUUCAUCUUCAAAACUGAAGUUUUUUGUUUCCCAUUCCUUUCCAACAAGAUUAAUGACCACAUUGCUGUGCUCCACAGCUCUUCGGGUAGAAUCUUUGUCCUUACAGUCCCACUCUAAGAAGAGAAGUUGCCCCAGGUCACCCAUUGGUCGCAGAUACAUGAGGUCAUACUGAUCACAGCGAUAAGGUAUGAUUACUUGAGAUCCAAUGCGACCUAAACGAUUGACAACGUAACGCCCCAGGAAACCUGUAGCUCCAAAGACAGUGGCCACAAUGCCACUAACAGAGGAUCGUCCGGUUCUCCCAUGAGGGAUCACCGCAUGAUGAACUUGGUGGUGCUGCUGCAACACAGA
Molecule: long non-coding RNA, 1116 nt
Filed under: Gallus gallus (chicken)
Lineage: Eukaryota; Metazoa; Chordata; Aves; Galliformes; Phasianidae
Source: RNAcentral